GAGUAGGUUAUUGCCAGGGUUUUUAUUUUUAUACUUUAAACUUUGAUUUUAUUUUUAUGUUUUUUAAAUAUUGGUGUUUUUGAAUGUGUUGUUUAAAUAACAUAAAAAAUAAAAUAUAUAUUGACAUGUAUUAAACAAAGAUAUAUAUUAUUUUAUGUUGUAUAAAUAAAUUGGCAAAAUAGAGAUGGAAGAUAAAAAUAUGGUCAAAGUAAUAAGAGUCUAUGGUGAAUGCCUAGA
RNAcentral lists this unclassified non-coding RNA (237 nucleotides) under Borreliella burgdorferi (Lyme disease spirochete). RNAcentral describes it as "partial contains 5S-23S ribosomal RNA intergenic spacer and 23S ribosomal RNA". Lineage: Bacteria; Pseudomonadati; Spirochaetota; Spirochaetia; Spirochaetales; Borreliaceae. The record is from RNAcentral.